This 497-nucleotide ribosomal RNA is filed under the name uncultured bacterium. Its description in RNAcentral is "partial 16S ribosomal RNA". It matches the Rfam family "Bacterial small subunit ribosomal RNA", at positions 28 to 507 of the family's 1533-position model. The record is from RNAcentral.
GAUGAACGCUGGCGGCGUGCCUAAUACAUGCCAGUCGAGCGAACAGACGAGGAGCUUGCUCCUCUGACGUUAGCGGCGGACGGGUGAGUAACACGUGGAUAACCUACCUAUAAGACUGGGAUAACUUCGGGAAACCGGAGCUAAUACCGGAUAAUAUAUUGAACCGCAUGGUUCAAUAGUGAAAGACGGUUUUGCUGUCACUUAUAGAUGGAUCCGCGCCGCAUUAGCUAGUUGGUAAGGUAACGGCUUACCAAGGCAACGAUGCGUAGCCGACCUGAGAGGGUGAUCGGCCACACUGGAACUGAGACACGGUCCAGACUCCUACGGGAGGCAGCAGUAGGGAAUCUUCCGCAAUGGGCGAAAGCCUGACGGAGCAACGCCGCGUGAGUGAUGAAGGUCUUCGGAUCGUAAAACUCUGUUAUUAGGGAAGAACAAAUGUGUAAGUAACUAUGCACGUCUUGACGGUACCUAAUCAGGAAGCCACGGCUAACUACGUG